Corvus hawaiiensis (hawaiian crow) is the source of this 381-nucleotide long non-coding RNA. RefSeq lists it as uncharacterized. NCBI's taxonomy places the organism in Eukaryota, Metazoa, Chordata, Aves, Passeriformes, Corvidae. The record is from RefSeq and is a predicted model, not a curated record. The transcript is spliced from 2 exons.
CCCUUGGGAAUGAUAAUAAUUCAGAUUGCAGCGUUCCCUGCAGACUUCACAAAUGGACAAACCAAAGAGUCUCUGAUCAAAUAGGGAGAGCUGCCAACCCACCUUUCCAAAACCUGGGAAAAUAAAAAAGGCUUAUUGCCUGGCACUCGGUUCGUUCAUAUCCCACAGGUAAAUAUCUCCUGCCCUGCGACCUGGCUCCUGUUUCUCCACCACCAGCUGAAUCUGAUCCCACAGCUGAUGUCCUCCCCCACUCAGCCGUCAGUGUCCGAAAUGAAAGACUGUUCCCAGACAAGGUGAUGAUCUGGAAUGAUGUGCUGAUAGGAUGGGAAGAAGCAUCAGGAUCAGGUGUGAACACCAGAAACCUUGACCCUCUCCUACCUC